UAGGGAAUCUUCCGCAAUGGACGCAAGUCUGACGGAGCAACGCCGCGUGAGUGAAGAAGGAUUUCGGUUCGUAAAACUCUGUUGUUAGAGAAGAACAGCGCAUAGAGUAACUGUUAUGCGUGUGACGUUAUCUAACCAGAAAGCCACGGCUAACUACGUGCCAGCAGCCGCGGUAAUACGUAGGUGGCAAGCGUUGUCCGGAUUUAUUGGGCGUAAAGCGAGCGCAGGCGGUCAAUUAAGUCUGAUGUGAAAGCCCCCGGCUCAACCGGGGAGGGUCAUUGGAAACUGGUUAACUUGAGUGCAGAAGAGGAGAGUGGAAUUCCAUGUGUUGCGGUGAAAUGCGUAGAUAUAUGGAGGAACACCAGUGGCGAAGGCGACUCUCUGGUCUGUAACUGACGCUGAGGCUCGAAAGCGUAGGUAGCAAACAUG
Molecule: ribosomal RNA, 429 nt
Filed under: Bacteroidota bacterium
Lineage: Bacteria; Pseudomonadati; Bacteroidota
Description: Bacteroidetes bacterium partial 16S ribosomal RNA
Rfam family: Bacterial small subunit ribosomal RNA
Source: RNAcentral